UCUCUCUAAAAGCCGUCUUUUUUGACAAAGAUGUCUUCUCGUAAGGUUCGUUGUUGGUUGUUGUUGAAAGGUUAUUUCCUAAAGCGACGCUUUUUGGGGUGUUAUUAUAACACUUGAAAUCUUUCUGCAAGAAUCCUUGGAUUUUGGUUUUGGAAGAAGAGGAGGGCCUUUGUGGACUGAUUUAAGAGAAUGAAAAUUGAAUUAAAUCUGGGAACUGAGAUUAUGCUUUAUGCAGUAAAAGGUGCCUCACCAUCAAUAUUAUAACAUAAAAGGAAUAGUUCUUGGGGGACCAUCUAUAAAGAUUAAUAACCCAUGAAGAAUUAUUGAAUAGAAGAUUAAUUCAAAGUGUAUGAGAACUAAACCACAUGAAGUUCAAUCCACAUCCAAUUCAAACUGUAUCUGAUUAAU
This 408-nucleotide long non-coding RNA is filed under the name Onthophagus taurus. Its description in RNAcentral is "uncharacterized LOC111429498, transcript variant X2". The record is from RNAcentral. Lineage: Eukaryota; Metazoa; Arthropoda; Insecta; Coleoptera; Scarabaeidae.